AUUGUAUUUACUCAAAUUUUUUUGUUUGCCAUGUUUUUGGUGCUUCGACUUAUACGACGAUACUUUGGAUUUUAAUAAGACUUCGGUCGGUAAGAAACAGCAACAGAGGUGUGACGAUGCUAGCCAGAAACGUGGAUGCUCCGUGAGAGAAGUAAACAGGGAGUCGUGCCGGCCGAUCGGCGUCCGUGCCAAGGGCAAGCCGACCGAGCAUCCGGAGCCGCGCCGAGACGUAGUCGAGCGACCCAAGAACCGAGAGGUCCAAUACAGGAAGUCGAGUAGCCGCUACGCCAACACGGGCAAGAAGCGAUCGCGGAGCUCCAAAGAAGCUUGGCCAUUAAUUAGUGUGGCGCCCAUGACAACUUGCGCGACAUUUGCUCGGGUCGA
This is a long non-coding RNA of Ceratosolen solmsi marchali, 384 nucleotides long. RefSeq lists it as uncharacterized. The record is from RefSeq and is a predicted model, not a curated record. NCBI's taxonomy places the organism in Eukaryota, Metazoa, Arthropoda, Insecta, Hymenoptera, Agaonidae. The transcript has 3 exons.